AAUUCAAACAACAUUACUAAUCAGAAGACGGGUGCCGGAAUCAUCCGUAAGAUACCGGGUUGGAUACGAAAAGGUGCAAAACCAGGAGGCAAAGUCGCCGGCAAAGCUUGUAAAAUUUGCUCAUGUAAAUACCAGAUUUGCAGCAAAUGUCCUAAAUGUCAUGACUAAAGUUAGGCCUUGAGACUAUGUACUUGUGCUGGUGUGAGUUUAAUUUUGAGAGUAAAGGGAAAGUUAUGAAUAGCCUAAUAUAAUUCUAUUACUAUGUUUUCUUAGUAAUUCUUAUUGUUGAAACUUGGAACAGGUCUUUGGGUCAAAAUGUACCUCUUGUCUUGUAGUCUUUCAACUGUAUAGUAUUGUACUGUAUUUUUCUUUAGCCACUUGAUAUCAAAUCCGAUUAAAUGUAAUUUGCGUUGCAUAUGUUUUACCACAGUCAGACCUUUCUAUAACAACAUUCGUAUAUAACAGCCUUUCAUUAUAAAAAUCAAUUUUUUCUUGGAAUCGAUUUUUUAUGUUAUGCUAUAAUAUAUGUUUUCUUUAACAGCACUUCACUAUAGCAGCAAAAAAAUAUCGAAACAAACGAGAUUGUUAUCGAUGGGUUUGACUGUACAAGGAAACGGGUUCUUAUAAAAAGGUUUAUCAUUUUUAGAGUUCGAACCUAAGAUCUUUGAUUAAGUUGGGUAUAGAAAUAACCUUUAUCCGUAGUAUAUAUACCGGGAUCUUGUAUCAGCGAUUAUAUAAUAAUUACUUGAUCCCAAAGACAUUAUAGGAGCUUAAUUUGGAAGAGCAAUUUGCUC
This 794-nucleotide long non-coding RNA is filed under the name Nicotiana tabacum (common tobacco). RNAcentral describes it as "long non-coding RNA (NTAB_LNC017255)". The record is from RNAcentral. Lineage: Eukaryota; Viridiplantae; Streptophyta; Magnoliopsida; Solanales; Solanaceae.